UUUCCGUAGGUGAACCUGCGGAAGGAUCAUUAUUGUAUAACCGAGGUGCGAGGGCUGUCGCUGACCCGACAGGUCGUGCACGCCCGAGUGCCCUCACACACAUCCAUCUCACCCCUAUGUGCACCACCGCUUGGGUCCCCCUUUGGCUUGUUCGGAGGGGGGCUUACGUUUUCACACAAACUUUGUAUGCAGUGUAGAAUGUAUUUUUUGUUUUUGCGAUCACGCAAUCAAUACGACUUUCAACAACGGAUCUCUUGGCUCUC
Molecule: unclassified non-coding RNA, 263 nt
Filed under: plant metagenome
Description: partial contains small subunit ribosomal RNA, internal transcribed spacer 1, and 5.8S ribosomal RNA
Source: RNAcentral